GACGAACGCUGGCGGCGUGCUUAACACAUGCAAGUCGAACGGAAAGGCCCUGCUUUUGUGGGGUGCUCGAGUGGCGAACGGGUGAGUAACACGUGAGUAACCUGCCCUUGACUUUGGGAUAACUUCAGGAAACUGGGGCUAAUACCGUAUAGGAGCUCCUGCUGCAUGGUGGGGGUUGGAACGUUUCGGCGGUUGGGGAUGGACUCGCGGCUUAUCAGCUUGUUGGUGGGGUAGUGGCUUACCCAGGAUUUGACGGAUAGCCGGCCUGAGAGGGUGACCGGCCACAAUGGGACUGAGAUACGGCCCAGACUCCUACGGGAGGCAGUAGUGGGGAAUAUUGCACAAUGAGCGGAAGCCUGAGGCAGCAGCGCCGCGUGUGGGAUGACGGCCUUCGGGUUGUAAACCGCUUUCGCCUGUGACGAAGCGUGAGUGACGGUAAUGGGUAAAGAAGCACCGGCUAACUACGUG
RNAcentral lists this ribosomal RNA (468 nucleotides) under uncultured bacterium. Its description in RNAcentral is "partial 16S ribosomal RNA". It matches the Rfam family "Bacterial small subunit ribosomal RNA", at positions 28 to 507 of the family's 1533-position model. The record is from RNAcentral.